Molecule: ribosomal RNA, 1266 nt
Filed under: Sepia officinalis (common cuttlefish)
Lineage: Eukaryota; Metazoa; Mollusca; Cephalopoda; Sepiida; Sepiidae
Description: 16S rRNA
Rfam family: Bacterial large subunit ribosomal RNA (bases 829-1212)
Source: RNAcentral
AUAUUUUAAAAUUGAGAUAAUAAGUAGUGUAAAAUAAAUUAUUUGUUUGAGUUAGUAUUAAGAGUAUAGAAAGUUUUAGUUAAAAAAGUACUGUAAAGGUGUAAAAUAAUUAUUUAAUAGUAGAAUUAUAAGUUCGUACCUUUUGCAUAAUGGGUUAAUGAUAUAUUUGUUUUAUAUAAAAAGUUCUCGAAAUAAAAAGAUUUAUUUGAUAAUAUUACGUUAACGUUGUAAAGUUAUGUUUUUAUUAUUAAAUAGUAAUGAAAUGUUUAUCGGUUUUUAUGAUGGCUAGUUUAUUAAUGAAGGUAUUUUAGUACCUUAAUAUUGAUUUAUUGUAAUAUAAUUAAUAUUAUUUAUUUUAUAAGGGAUAAGCUUUAUAUAAUGUAGUAGAAUAGUAAUAAAUUUAUUUUUAGUUGUAAGUAGAAUUAAAAUUGUUUAUCUUAUGAAGUAUUAUAAAAAUUUAUUUGAGUUGAUUCAGAUUUUUAAAUUAAUAAAUAUUUGUUAAUUUUUAAUAAUUAAUUAUAAUGUUAGUAUGAGUAUUAUUUAAAUUAUUUAUUUGGGGCUAUAAAAGUGUAUUAAUGAUAAUAUAUUUAAUUAAAUAAAAUAAGGAAAAGGAAUUCGGCAAAAAUAAAUCUCGCCUGUUUAUCAAAAACAUGUCUCUUUGUACGAUUAAAAAUGGAGAGUUGGGCCUGCUCGGUGAAGAAAUUUUUAACAGCUGCGGUAUUUUAACUGUACUAAGGUAGCAUAAUAAUUUGCCUUAUAAAUUGAGGCUAGUAUGAAAGGUUUGACGAAGGUUUACCUGUCUCUUUUUUAUUUAAUAGAAAUUAAUUUUUUAGUGAAAAAGCUUAAAUUCUUCAAAGGGACGAGAAGACCCUAAUGAGCUUAAAUUUUAUUUUAUUAUAUAUAUUUUAUAGUAAAAAAGAAGUUUUAGUUGGGGUGAUUAAGGAAUAAAAAAACGAAUGAUGUAACUUCCUUAAAUAUAAAAUUGUUAAAUUAAGUAACCAAUUUAUAUUGCUUAUAAUAGAGUUACCAUAGGGAUAACAGCGUAAUUUAUUUAGAGAGCUCAUAUCAAAAAAUAAGAUUGCGACCUCGAUGUUGGAUUAAAGUAACCUUAAGGUGCAGUAGCUUUAGGUGGUGAAUCUGUUCGAUUUUUAAAACUUUACAUGAUCUGAGUUCAGACCGGCGUGAGCCAGGUUGGUUUCUAUCUUUUGAAUAAUGUAAUUUUUUUUAGUACGAAAGGACCGGAGAAAUUAAUUGUAAUUAUUUAAU